UACGUAGGGACCAAGCGUUGUUCGGAUUUACUGGGCGUAAAGAGCGUGUAGGCGGCCAGGCAGGUCUGUUGUGAAAACUGGAGGCUCAACUUCCAGACGUCGACAGAAACCGCUUGGCUAGAGUCCGGAAGAGGUGAGUGGAAUUCCUAGUGUAGAGGUGAAAUUCGUAGAUAUUAGGAAGAACACCAGUGGCGAAGGCGGCUCACUGGUCCGGUACUGACGCUGAGGUGCGAAAGCGUGGGGAGCGAACAGG
RNAcentral lists this ribosomal RNA (253 nucleotides) under uncultured bacterium. RNAcentral describes it as "partial 16S ribosomal RNA". It matches the Rfam family "Bacterial small subunit ribosomal RNA", at positions 524 to 776 of the family's 1533-position model. The record is from RNAcentral.